GUUGCUUCCUCAAAACUUGUUCAAAUCCAAAAACACAACACAGAACAGAGGAAUCCAAGAGAUUUAAGAACCUAUUGUGACGAUGCCUAGCAUGCUUCACACCCAUCAAUCUCACUUCUUGUUCCUCCAUCAUCCGCCAAUCUCCACCGUUCAUUCCAAGUCGCAGUCUUUCCACUUCCCGCAAUCAAUGGCUCCGGUUAACCUCCGUACGAAUCUCUCCGUGCGCCGGAGUGUACGGUGUAUGGCAAACCCGAGGCGAGUGAAGAUGGUGGCUAAGCAGAUAAUGAGGGAACUCUCCGAUAUGCUUCUCACUGACACGGUUUUACAGCACGCCGUGUUGCCCGAAGCUGCACUUGGAGCUGACCGCUACCUCUCUUCUCUUACCACCAUCAGCGAUGUUGAGGUCUCUAAUGAUUUGCAGGUGGUGAAAGUAUAUGUAUCCGUGUUUGGUGAUGACAGAGGGAAAGAUGUAGCAAUUGCCGGGUUGAAAUCAAAAGCUAAGUACGUUAGGAGUGAGCUUGGGAAGCGAAUGAAGUUGAGAUUGACGCCUGAGGUCAGAUUUAUUGAGGAUGAAUCCAUGGAAAGAGGAAGCAGGGUUAUUGCAAUACUGGACAAAUUAAAAGCUGAGAAGGGAAGCGGGGAUGGUGUAAACGAAGGGAGACCAGAACCAUCUGAUUCAGCAGAGGAUAAUCAAGAUUGGGACGUGGAUGACCCUGACGAAGACAUAAUCUAUGUAAAGUAAUGGUCUGUAGCAGUUUAAGCACCAAGCAUGAGUGCAUAUCACUCUGAUAUAAUGCUCCACGUUUUUGGACGAUAUUACAAGGCGGCAUGGGAGAACGGAGAAGAUGAAUACCAAUGAAAGUUACUUAUAAAACUCGUUAUGGAGCCUGAAAGCUUGUUUGGUCCGUUUACUCAGAUAUGUCCAACAAAAUUGUUAUUUUGGAUUAGUCAGUGUAACAGUGUAGGCAUAAGCUCUUGUUUCUGCUUCGUUGUAAUGUCUUUGUUUUGUGUUAAUGUCAGCUCUCACAUUCCUGGUAUCAUGUUAGGUGUUUUGACAACAGUUAUUGAUAUAAGUCUUGGAUCAGAUAACAACUAA
This is an RNA transcript of Capsella rubella, 1096 nucleotides long. It is a transcript of the gene named probable ribosome-binding factor A, chloroplastic, with no coding region annotated. The record is from RefSeq and is a predicted model, not a curated record. Lineage: Eukaryota; Viridiplantae; Streptophyta; Magnoliopsida; Brassicales; Brassicaceae. The transcript has 4 exons.